Danio rerio (zebrafish) is the source of this 2370-nucleotide long non-coding RNA. NCBI's taxonomy places the organism in Eukaryota, Metazoa, Chordata, Actinopteri, Cypriniformes, Danionidae. The record is from Ensembl.
CAGAAAAAACGAGAAACGUCUUCAUGACAUAAAAAAGGAAUUCAACACAAACAUCAACAUGAAUGACCACAGCCCGGUUGUGUUAGAAAAUCCAUCCUCCACAGAGAAAUGCAUGGACAUGUCACUUGGACCACUGACAGCACUGACAGAAAAUAUUGUGACUUUACAAACGACCGCUGCAUCACCAGGCAUAACAUCAGUCACAUCUCCUCUGUCAUCAGUACCAAUUAAAGAAAAAACAGCUUGUGAACCUACCACUCUUCUGAAUUUUUUGGAACCUACUAAGCCUUGGGAGAGGGACUGGCAUCCAUUACAAGAGAAACUGCUUGAUUAUGUGCUGGACCGAAAUCGCCCUGGCAGUGAAAUAAUUGUGAAGGAGGGGCAAGUGUGCCUUAUUCGAGAAGAAUUUUGGAGCCUUGGAUUGUUGAGGGACAUGGACUCCCAUAUUGGAAACACCUGCAUGAAGCUUAUUUGUGAAAUGGCUCGACAAAUUGGCAAGGACAUAUACAUUGAGGACUUUUAUGUUGUCCCUGUGUGGAAAGAAACUCCUAACAACAUUGUUACUGGACUACCGGAAGAUGCAGACUUGAAAGACCUGUUAGCCUUUCCAGCAUGGACAAAUGCCAAUGGACCAGACCACUUUGUUGUCUGUGAAAAUUGCUUACCGAGUGGAUCAUGGGACAUGGUCUGAAAAGACUGGAUAUGAUUUUCCAGCUUUGCCACGUCAGACAAGAGGGAAUGAUUGUGGUGUUUUUGUACUCAUGUACACCCUCUCAAUGGUGUGUGGCAUUGGGUUUCAACUCCAGGAGAUGGAUAUACCUAUCAUCCGUCAGUGGUGGUGCCUUCUACUCAUGGAACAAUUUCAAAUUGAUGGGUAUGUCAGUAUUUAUUUAUUUUUCUUGUAAAUCUGUAAAAUUAAAAAUUUAUAUUGUGUCAAUACAACAACUUGUAACAUGAAUAACAAAACAUACUUAAAAUCUCUUUUACCGGUGACCAGUAUGUCACCGACUCGGUCCCAGUAACUCCCCUCGCUGGCCAGCAGAGGCCACCAUCUCCGGACUUUUAGCAUUACGUAAUCCAUCUACACUGAUUGCGCAUACACCUGAUUGGAAUCUGGCUAAUGACCCACGUACCUCUUAUAAGCCGCACUCAAACACUCGUUCAAGGCGAAGUCUUGUUUAGCCCCGGCCAGCAUUUCUGAGCAUUAUCUCCAGCCUGAUCUCCUGUGCACGACUCCAGCCUGUCUCUUACUUUGCUUCGCCUUCUGCCUGCCCACGACCCACGCUUGUUAUACGGACUCUGACUCUCUCUCUGCCUGCCCACGAACCACGCCUGUUACACGGACUCUGAUCCUUGCUGCCUGCCCUUGACCCAAGCCUGCAUAACGGAUCCUGGUUCUCGCUCACUCCCUUCCACUCAUGCCUGGUAACUCACUCUUUGUCUGUUCAUCAUCAGUCUUGAUACCCAUACUACUACUGUGGAUGUGUGUGUGCACUCCGGUGCAUAUUGUGUGUUUGAGUGAAGUUGUGAUUAAUAAAUACUGCAUAAUGGAUCCCUCCGUGUCAGUCUCCUCGUUACACAGUAAUUAUGGAUUUUGUCUUGUCUUGUUAUUAAAAGCUAUGGGCACAGAUUUGCUUUCUGGACUGAGGAGGCAAGAAGUGUCUUGGAUGGAAAGAUUCUGCCCCUUUUUAGGGUGAAAAGAAAAACCACAUCCAAUCUUCCGGCACAUGUCCAAGCAGUUCAAGAUCGGGAAAGGAAUGACAAAAGAUUAGUGGACUUGAUUAUCACAUCAAAAUCACCAGAGCAGCAUUUGGUGGUAUAGAUGGUUCCACUUUAAAUUACUCCUCUAGACUCUGAGUAUGGUUGACUUAAAUAUAGUCAAGUGACAAUUUAACUAUUAUUUGCCAAAUAUAAUUAAUUUCUUGUGCAUUUACAUAUGAAAUAUAAUUUCCUUCUAUGGCCCAAAGGAUAUACUCGGUGGGAAAAGGUCAAAUUGGUUUCCACUAAAACCCCGUUCUCAAGUGCCUGUCUACAUUGAGAAUGAGCAGUCCCGGUCAAUCAUUUGUGACUACAUCAGAGGAAUUCUUAAUAAAACCAAAACACAGCUGACCUUCAAUGAUGAGGUGGAGUUCAUUUGUGGAUGUCUCCUCCCAGAGGCCAUAACUUAUGGCAUUUCCGAGUUACAAGGCUUGUCUUGGCAGGAGGCUGAAGAUGUCUUCCUCCAGGGCCCCAUUUAUCACGCAAGUUAAGUUGAGGAAUUUAACAGAAGAAUUGCUCGAGAAAUGAAAAAUCUCCCCAACAGGAAUCUCGAUGACUUGUAGGACCUCAUGAAAAUUUAUAAAAAAAAUAAAGUUUGGUGUUAGAAAAUUA